This 533-nucleotide ribosomal RNA is filed under the name Enterococcus sp. FBPers-10_02-09. RNAcentral's name for it is "bacterial SSU rRNA". It matches the Rfam family "Bacterial small subunit ribosomal RNA", at positions 223 to 749 of the family's 1533-position model. Lineage: Bacteria; Bacillati; Bacillota; Bacilli; Lactobacillales; Enterococcaceae. The record is from RNAcentral.
GGAUGGACCCGCGGUGCAUUAGCUAGUUGGUGAGGUAACGGCUCACCAAGGCCACGAUGCAUAGCCGACCUGAGAGGGUGAUCGGCCACAUUGGGACUGAGACACGGCCCAAACUCCUACGGGAGGCAGCAGUAGGGAAUCUUCGGCAAUGGACGAAAGUCUGACCGAGCAACGCCGCGUGAGUGAAGAAGGUUUUCGGAUCGUAAAACUCUGUUGUUAGAGAAGAACAAGGAUGAGAGUAACUGUUCAUCCCUUGACGGUAUCUAACCAGAAAGCCACGGCUAACUACGUGCCAGCAGCCGCGGUAAUACGUAGGUGGCAAGCGUUGUCCGGAUUUAUUGGGCGUAAAGCGAGCGCAGGCGGUUUCUUAAGUCUGAUGUGAAAGCCCCCGGCUCAACCGGGGAGGGUCAUUGGAAACUGGGAGACUUGAGUGCAGAAGAGGAGAGUGGAAUUCCAUGUGUAGCGGUGAAAUGCGUAGAUAUAUGGAGGAACACCAGUGGCGAAGCGGCUCUCUGGUCUGUAACUGACGCUGA